ACUCCUACGGGAGGCAGCAGUGGGGAAUUUUGGACAAUGGGCGCAAGCCUGAUCCAGCAAUGCCGCGUGCAGGAAGAAGGCCUUCGGGUUGUAAACUGCUUUGUCAGGGAAGAAAUCCUCUGGGUUAAUACCUCGGGGGGAGUGACGGUACCUGAAGAAUAAGCACCGGCUAACUACGUGCCAGCAGCCGCGGUAAUACGUAGGGUGCGAGCGUUAAUCGGAAUUACUGGGCGUAAAGCGUGCGCAGGCGGUUGUGCAAGACAGGUGUGAAAUCCCCCGGGCUUAACCUGGGAACUGCACUUGUGACUGCACGGCUAGAGUACGGUAGAGGGGGAUGGAAUUCCGCGUGUAGCAGUGAAAUGCGUAGAUAUGCGGAGGAACACCGAUGGCGAAGGCAAUCCCCUGGACCUGUACUGACGCUCAUGCACGAAAGCGUGGGAGCAAACAGGAUUAGAUACCCCUGGUAGCGACUGA
Molecule: ribosomal RNA, 474 nt
Filed under: uncultured bacterium
Lineage: Bacteria
Description: bacterial SSU rRNA
Rfam family: Bacterial small subunit ribosomal RNA
Source: RNAcentral